This 209-nucleotide long non-coding RNA is filed under the name Brassica rapa (field mustard). RNAcentral's name for it is "long non-coding RNA (BRAP_LNC008645)". Lineage: Eukaryota; Viridiplantae; Streptophyta; Magnoliopsida; Brassicales; Brassicaceae. The record is from RNAcentral.
ACUUUAUGUAUCCAAAUCAAGCUUCUCACAAAGAGAUUCAUCCUGAUUUGAUGUGAAGGACGAAUAAGCUGUCCUAUUCCCAAACUGGGAAACUGGAAGCACCUGAUUUGAAAGUGGGAUAACUUCUUCUUGCCAACUCCUAUGAGAUUUAUUCAACUUCCUGGUGAUUCUCCACCACUUUAUGUAUCCAAAUCAAGCUUCUCACAAAG